UUUUUUAGGAGUGUCCUGAACAGAAAGUAAAAUCCCAUUUUUCAGGAGGGUCCUGAGCCUAAAGUAAAUUUCCAUUUUUUAGGAUGAUCCUAAACAUAAAGUAAAAUUCCAUUUUUCAGAAGGGUCCUGAACAGAAAAUAAAAUCCCAUUUUCUAGAAGGGUCCUAAACAGAAAGUAAAUUCUUACUUUUCAGGAGGGUCCUGAACAAAAAGUAAAAUCCCAUUUUCCUGGAGGAUCCUGAAUAGAAAGUAAAAUCCUAUUUUUAGAAGGGUCCUGAACCUAAAGUAAAUUCUCAUUUUUCAGAAGGGUCCUGAACAGAAAGUAAAGUCCCAUUUUUCAGGAAGGUUCCGAACAGAAAGUAAUGUCUCAUUUUUUAGGAGGGUCCUGAACAGAAAGUAAAGUCCCAUUUUUCAGGAAGGUUCCGAACAGAAAGUAAUGUCUCAUUUUUUAGGAGGGUCCUGAACAGAAAGUAAAGUCCCAUUUUUCAGGAAGGUUCCGAACAGAAAGUAAUGUCUCAUUUUUUAGGAGGGUCCUGAACAGAAAGUAAAUUCCCAUUUUUUAGGAGGGUCCUGAACAAAAAGUAAAGUCCCAUUUUUCAGGAGGGUCCUGAACAAAAAGUAAAAUCCCAUUUUCCAGGAGGUUCCUGAACAGAAAGUAAAAUCUCAUUUUUCAGGAGGGUCCUGAACCUAAAGUAAAUUCUCAUUUUUCAGGAGGGUCCUGAACAUAAAGUGAAUUCCAUUUUUUAGGAGGGUCCUGAAAAGAAAGUAAAGUCCCAUUUUUCAGGAGGGUCCUGAACAGAAAGUAAAGUCCCAUUUUUCAGGAGGGUCCUGAACAUAAAGUAAAAUCCAAUUUUUCAAGAGGGUCCUGAACAGAAAGUAAAAUCUCAUUUUUCAAGAGGGUCCUG
Molecule: long non-coding RNA, 904 nt
Filed under: Capsicum annuum
Lineage: Eukaryota; Viridiplantae; Streptophyta; Magnoliopsida; Solanales; Solanaceae
Description: long non-coding RNA (CANN_LNC021875)
Source: RNAcentral